Molecule: ribosomal RNA, 522 nt
Filed under: Vibrio cholerae O1
Lineage: Bacteria; Pseudomonadati; Pseudomonadota; Gammaproteobacteria; Vibrionales; Vibrionaceae
Description: partial 23S ribosomal RNA
Rfam family: Eukaryotic large subunit ribosomal RNA
Source: RNAcentral
CGCAUGAAUGGAUGAACGAGAUUCCCACUGUCCCUACCUACUAUCCAGCGAAACCACAGCCAAGGGAACGGGCUUGGCGGAAUCAGCGGGGAAAGAAGACCCUGUUGAGCUUGACUCUAGUCUGGCACGGUGAAGAGACAUGAGAGGUGUAGAAUAAGUGGGAGGCCCCCGGCGCCCCCCCGGUGUCCCCGCGAGGGGCCCGGGGCGGGGUCCGCCGGCCCUGCGGGCCGCCGGUGAAAUACCACUACUCUGAUCGUUUUUUCACUGACCCGGUGAGGCGGGGGGGCGAGCCCCGAGGGGCUCUCGCUUCUGGCGCCAAGCGCCCGGCCGCGCGCCGGCCGGGCGCGACCCGCUCCGGGGACAGUGCCAGGUGGGGAGUUUGACUGGGGCGGUACACCUGUCAAACGGUAACGCAGGUGUCCUAAGGCGAGCUCAGGGAGGACAGAAACCUCCCGUGGAGCAGAAGGGCAAAAGCUCGCUUGAUCUUGAUUUUCAGUACGAAUACAGACCGUGAAAGCGGGG